Mauremys mutica (yellowpond turtle) is the source of this 297-nucleotide long non-coding RNA. RefSeq lists it as uncharacterized. The record is from RefSeq and is a predicted model, not a curated record. The transcript is spliced from 3 exons. NCBI's taxonomy places the organism in Eukaryota, Metazoa, Chordata, Testudines, Geoemydidae.
GAUGUGGAUGAAGCUGCGAAGGAAACCCCCUCCAACACUGAUGCAGGAUUCCGCCACCAUGUGAGUGACAACAGUACGUGGUCUGGGACCCUAACCACACGGUCCAUGCUGUGUCCCUUGGGGAUGUAGACCGACGCCAGCCAUGCCUGUUGAGGCCUGAGGCAAAUCCACGUGUGCCGGACCACGUACAGCACAGGCAGUGGCACAGCAGAAUUCUUCAGACUGCUCCAGCAGUAUGCUUCAAUCUUCCCCUGCAAAGACUACUCCUCAAGUGUACACUGUUUGAAAAAAAGCCAC